This 599-nucleotide ribosomal RNA is filed under the name Ruegeria meonggei. Its description in RNAcentral is "bacterial SSU rRNA". It matches the Rfam family "Bacterial small subunit ribosomal RNA", at positions 115 to 749 of the family's 1533-position model. Lineage: Bacteria; Pseudomonadati; Pseudomonadota; Alphaproteobacteria; Rhodobacterales; Roseobacteraceae. The record is from RNAcentral.
GCGUGGGAAUAUACCCAAUGGUACGGAAUAGCCUCUGGAAACGGAGAGUAAUACCGUAUGUGCCCUUCGGGGGAAAGAUUUAUCGCCAUUGGAUUAGCCCGCGUCUGAUUAGAUAGUUGGUGGGGUAACGGCCUACCAAGUCGACGAUCAGUAGCUGGUUUGAGAGGAUGAUCAGCAACACUGGGACUGAGACACGGCCCAGACUCCUACGGGAGGCAGCAGUGGGGAAUCUUAGACAAUGGGCGCAAGCCUGAUCUAGCCAUGCCGCGUGAGUGACGAAGGCCUUAGGGUCGUAAAGCUCUUUCGCCUGUGAAGAUAAUGACUGUAGCAGGUAAAGAAACCCCGGCUAACUCCGUGCCAGCAGCCGCGGUAAUACGGAGGGGGUUAGCGUUGUUCGGAAUUACUGGGCGUAAAGCGCACGUAGGCGGACCGAAAAGUUGGGGGUGAAAUCCCAGGGCUCAACCCUGGAACUGCCUCCAAAACUCUCGGUCUGGAGUUCGAGAGAGGUAAGUGGAAUUCCGAGUGUAGAGGUGAAAUUCGUAGAUAUUCGGAGGAACACCAGUGGCGAAGGCGACUUACUGGCUCGAUACUGACGCUGA